AUUGAACGCUGGCGGCAGGCCUAACACAUGCAAGUCGAGCGGAUGAAGGGAGCUUGCUCCUGGAUUCAGCGGCGGACGGGUGAGUAAUGCCUAGGAAUCUGCCUGGUAGUGGGGGAUAACGUCCGGAAACGGGCGCUAAUACCGCAUACGUCCUGAGGGAGAAAGUGGGGGAUCUUCGGACCUCACGCUAUCAGAUGAGCCUAGGUCGGAUUAGCUAGUUGGUGGGGUAAAGGCCUACCAAGGCGACGAUCCGUAACUGGUCUGAGAGGAUGAUCAGUCACACUGGAAGUGAGACACGGUCCAGACUCCUACGGGAGGCAGCAGUGGGGAAUAUUGGACAAUGGGCGAAAGCCUGAUCCAGCCAUGCCGCGUGUAUGAAGAAGGUCUUCGGAUUGUAAAGCACUUUAAGUUGGGAGGAAGGGCAGUAAGUUAAUACCUUGCUGUUUUGACGUUACCAACAGAAUAAGCACCGGCUAACUUCGUG
This 484-nucleotide ribosomal RNA is filed under the name uncultured bacterium. Its description in RNAcentral is "partial 16S ribosomal RNA". It matches the Rfam family "Bacterial small subunit ribosomal RNA", at positions 30 to 507 of the family's 1533-position model. The record is from RNAcentral.